AAGUCGUAACAAGGUCUCCGUAGGUGAACCUGCGGAGGGAUCAUUACAGAGAACAUCGCCCUCACGGGUGACUCUCCAACCCCAUGUCGUUAUAACCUUUGUUGCUUUGGCGAGCCGCCUCGGCCACCGGCUCCGGCUGGUGAGUGCUCGCCAGAGGACCCCCAACCCUGAAUAUUAGUGUCGUCUGAGUACUAUAUAAUAGUUAAAACUUUCAACAACGGAUCUCUUGGUUCUG
RNAcentral lists this unclassified non-coding RNA (235 nucleotides) under Xenochalara sp. RNAcentral's name for it is "partial contains small subunit ribosomal RNA, internal transcribed spacer 1, and 5.8S ribosomal RNA". The stretch from base 1 to 46 matches the Rfam family "Eukaryotic small subunit ribosomal RNA", at positions 1786 to 1831 of the family's 1831-position model. The record is from RNAcentral. Lineage: Eukaryota; Fungi; Ascomycota; Leotiomycetes; Helotiales; Dermateaceae.